GAUGAAGAACGUAGCGAAAUGCGAUAAGUAAUGUGAAUUGCAGAAUUCAGUGAAUCAUCGAAUCUUUGAACGCACAUUGCGCCCGCCAGCAUUCUGGCGGGCAUGCCUGUUCGAGCGUCAUUUCAACCCUCGAGCCCCCCCGGGGGCCUCGGUGUUGGGGGACGGCACACCAGCCGCCCCCGAAAUGUAGUGGCGACCCCGCCGCAGCCUCCCCUGCGUAGUAGCACACACCUCGCACCGGAGCGCGGAGGCGGUCACGCCGUAAAACGCCCAACUUUCUUAGAGUUGACCUCGGAUCAGGUAGGAAUACCCGCUGAACUUAAGCAUAUCAAUAAGCGGAGGA
This 343-nucleotide unclassified non-coding RNA is filed under the name soil metagenome. Its description in RNAcentral is "partial contains 5.8S ribosomal RNA, internal transcribed spacer 2, and large subunit ribosomal RNA". The stretch from base 1 to 120 matches the Rfam family "5.8S ribosomal RNA", at positions 35 to 154 of the family's 154-position model. The record is from RNAcentral.